This 74-nucleotide transfer RNA is filed under the name Pseudoalteromonas distincta. RNAcentral describes it as "tRNA-Arg". It matches the Rfam family "tRNA". From Rfam's summary of the family: Transfer RNA (tRNA) molecules are approximately 80 nucleotides in length. Their secondary structure includes four short double-helical elements and three loops (D, anti-codon, and T loops). Further hydrogen bonds mediate the characteristic L-shaped molecular structure. tRNAs have two regions of fundamental functional importance: the anti-codon, which is responsible for specific mRNA codon recognition, and the 3' end, to which the tRNAs corresponding amino acid is attached (by aminoacyl-tRNA synthetases). tRNAs cope with the degeneracy of the genetic code in two manners: having more than one tRNA (with a specific anti-codon) for a particular amino acid; and 'wobble' base-pairing, i.e. permitting non-standard base-pairing at the 3rd anti-codon position. RNAcentral also lists the same sequence under 4 other names. The record is from RNAcentral. Lineage: Bacteria; Pseudomonadati; Pseudomonadota; Gammaproteobacteria; Alteromonadales; Pseudoalteromonadaceae.
GGUUUCAUAGCUCAACCGGAUAGAGCAACGGUUUUCUAAACCGUAGGUUCCAGGUUCGAGUCCUGGUGAGACCA